GGGAACCUUUCUGGCUCUGCAAUAUGAUAAGGCAGGCGAACUUUAAAACCUACAAGGACUCUUUCUGGCCACAAUAGUGAUGGAAAAGUUGUUUCCGGACCCCCAACAAAAACAACAGCAGGAAAGAGGACAUAUGGCAUCCUUUUGAACAAUAGAUGACAGGUGAAGAAGAUAUGAGUGUUGGGUGGCUCCCUGGCACAAACCAAU
Long non-coding RNA from Bombina bombina (fire-bellied toad), 207 nucleotides. RefSeq lists it as uncharacterized. The transcript is spliced from 3 exons. NCBI's taxonomy places the organism in Eukaryota, Metazoa, Chordata, Amphibia, Anura, Bombinatoridae. The record is from RefSeq and is a predicted model, not a curated record.